GCUCGGCUAGCUCAGUCGGUAGAGCAUGAGCCUCUUAAUCUCAGGGUCGUGGGUUAGAUCCCCACGUUGGGCA
Non-coding RNA from Danio rerio (zebrafish), 73 nucleotides. NCBI's taxonomy places the organism in Eukaryota, Metazoa, Chordata, Actinopteri, Cypriniformes, Danionidae. The record is from Rfam.